UAGGAUAAAUGUUGCUUUGUUUUUCCCUGAUUUCCCUGUUAUCCCAUACCUUAGGUAAAGCAAGGUCAAAUUUGAAUUGGUUUUCUAUGGACUUCUGUUCCUACAAUACUUGAAAAUCUUUAAGAAAAAGGUGAAAAUUCUAGUAUUAUUUUUUCCUGCGAGGUGGUUACUUUUUCUAGGACUAAUUUUGAAGCAGUUCAGUAGAUAAAGAAGGAUGCAUACACUGACUAGAAAAUUAUGUUUGCAGUUAAUUUAAUUUCAAAAGAUUACUUCAAUACCCAUAUUACUUGCCAAGCAGUAUAAUUUGUAGGGAACAUAAUUAAGAUUACAGAAUUAUUAAUUUGGUUAAAAUUCACCAUUUCAUAAGGAUAGGCAAUAAUGUUUAAAAAUCACAUAAAAGUCUUUAUGGUGUUUUGACUAAAUUGUGCUUGAUUUGUAGUCUAAACCUUCUUAGUGAUUAUCUGGUGUCCCGCAUGAAAAACUGUAUCUUUGAAAUUAUAAACCUAAAUUCAUUAAGGUGUAUCCACAAUACUUAACACCCAGUGAUUGGCAACAGUUGUGUAGAGCAGUAUUGUCAGGAGGUGAUUAUCUUUUAUUGGAAACCCACUACACCACUGUUAGCGCGGGUGAGGGGAGCUGUUUAUGUUUUUCCCCCAGGUGCUGAUAAACCUAUCUGUAUUCCUGAAAGCAACAAAAUAACAAAGGUGAUGAUCCUCAUCCUUCUGACACAGACAUGGAGCAUACAGGGUAAUGUCGCUGCUGGCAUCGCCUGUCUCAGACUGCGGUUGCAGCUUCCACGGUUGAUACCUUGUCAGGAAAGAAACCGACUUCUUCAAUAGCCUGGAUUUGGGUUUAUUAGCCUUGACUCCUGUUGACACGACUUAAAUGCAGUGGAGUAAAACAUCUGACUCUAACAUCUGUGGGGGCAUCAGCUGAGCAUGUGGGGAGAUAACUCAGAAAGCUCAUGAUGACCGCUGCCCCACUCCAAGGGAGGUGGUGUUUUGACAUCUAACCCUCGGCGCACCCAGCUCAGUCAGCACUCUUCGUCCUCUCCUGCCCGCCCCUUCUGAUCGAUCUGCGGGGACUAGAUGUUCAGGUGUCCUAAAGUCACAUGCAAAAAAGCAAAGAAGAGGUGUUCUGAAGAGGUCGUGCUGUGAAGCGGAUGUGCUUUAGAGACGGGGUCAAAGUUCAGACGCUGUGUGAACUACUCGGGAUCCUUUCAGUGCGUCUGUGCUUUGUUUCGUUCCCAUUCACAGCGGAACUUCAGAAGUGUGCUGUCUUUGGAUGUGUGAGACACUGACAUGGUCUUAAGUGUUACUUGACACCGUACACUUGUUACCGUGUCUUGUGUAGAAUUAUGACUGGCCGAGUAAGACCCAAUAAAUAUUGUUGGACAGA
Nannospalax galili (Upper Galilee mountains blind mole rat) is the source of this 1398-nucleotide long non-coding RNA. RefSeq lists it as uncharacterized. NCBI's taxonomy places the organism in Eukaryota, Metazoa, Chordata, Mammalia, Rodentia, Spalacidae. The transcript is spliced from 3 exons. The record is from RefSeq and is a predicted model, not a curated record.